RNAcentral lists this transfer RNA (72 nucleotides) under Camelus bactrianus (Bactrian camel). It matches the Rfam family "tRNA". Rfam says of the family: Transfer RNA (tRNA) molecules are approximately 80 nucleotides in length. Their secondary structure includes four short double-helical elements and three loops (D, anti-codon, and T loops). RNAcentral also lists the same sequence under 2 other names. The record is from Rfam by way of RNAcentral. Lineage: Eukaryota; Metazoa; Chordata; Mammalia; Artiodactyla; Camelidae.
AGGGGUAUAGCUCAGUGGUAGAGCACGUGCUUGGCAUGCACAAGGUCCUGGGUUCAGUCCCCAGUGCCUUCA